UCGCGCGCACGCGGAUCACCCAUGUGGCUCCCUCCCGCGUCAGCGUCUCUGCCGCUUGGCGCGUCCUAGUUGGUCGGGGCUGCUAACCGGGCAGCUAACAUGGUGUAACUUUUUUAAAUUGCAUUUUAACACUUAGUUUCUGAUUUUUCUUUCAAAAAUACCCCUAAAACCCAAAUUUCACUCCUUUUCUCCAAAAUUAUUUUCAAUUAAAUCCCUAACCAAUUUUUUUAUCCCUUUUUAUUA
RNAcentral lists this long non-coding RNA (243 nucleotides) under Carica papaya (papaya). Its description in RNAcentral is "long non-coding RNA (CPAP_LNC016285)". Lineage: Eukaryota; Viridiplantae; Streptophyta; Magnoliopsida; Brassicales; Caricaceae. The record is from RNAcentral.